RNAcentral lists this unclassified non-coding RNA (300 nucleotides) under Phylloporus sp. RNAcentral's name for it is "partial contains small subunit ribosomal RNA and internal transcribed spacer 1". The stretch from base 1 to 46 matches the Rfam family "Eukaryotic small subunit ribosomal RNA", at positions 1786 to 1831 of the family's 1831-position model. The record is from RNAcentral. Lineage: Eukaryota; Fungi; Basidiomycota; Agaricomycetes; Boletales; Boletaceae.
AAGUCGUAACAAGGUUUCCGUAGGUGAACCUGCGGAAGGAUCAUUACAAAACAACAAACUGUUUGACGAUUGGUGAUAUGGGGAGAGGAGGGAGAGAAGGGAGAGGAGAAAUUCUUUCUCAUUUCAUUUCUCUUCUCUUCUCUUCCCUAUCACUAUUCUUAUAUUAUUACCAUUUGACAAUGUGUGAUGGAUGUGUGUUGGUGGGUGGUGGUGGUGGUGGCAUGCGUCUCGACGCCGGCAACCAGCAAACAACGACAACAACAGCGCAACCAACAACAACAAUGUGACACAACACAAAAU